GAUGAACGCUGGCGGCGUGCUUAACACAUGCAAGUCGAACGAUGAAGCCCAGCUUGCUGGGUGGAUUAGUGGCGAACGGGUGAGUAACACGUGAGUAACCUGCCCUUAACUCUGGGAUAAGCCUGGGAAACUGGGUCUAAUACCGGAUAGGAGCGCCUACCGCAUGGUGGGUGUUGGAAAGAUUUAUCGGUUUUGGAUGGACUCGCGGCCUAUCAGCUUGUUUGUGAGGUAAUGGCUCACCAAGGCGACGACGGGUAGCCGGCCUGAGAGGGUGACCGGCCACACUGGGACUGCGACACGGCCCAGACUCCUACGGGAGGCAGCAGUGGGGAAUAUUGCACAAUGGGCGAAAGCCUGAUGCAGCGACGCCGCGUGAGGGAUGACGGCCUUCGGGUUGUAAACCUCUUUCAGUAGGGAAGAAGCGAAAGUGACGGUACCUGCAGAAGAAGCACCGGCUAACUACGUG
Molecule: ribosomal RNA, 466 nt
Filed under: uncultured bacterium
Lineage: Bacteria
Description: partial 16S ribosomal RNA
Rfam family: Bacterial small subunit ribosomal RNA
Source: RNAcentral